CAUCGGGAGUAGCAAUACUGCCGGCGACCGGCGCAAGGGUGCGUAACGCGUGAGCAACAUGCCCGUAUCAGGGGGGAUAAUCCAUGGAAACGUGGUCUAAUACCCCAUAGUAAUUAUGUAAGGCAUCUUAUAUAAUUUAAAGCUUUGGUGGAUACGGAUUGGCUCGCGUGACAUUAGCUGGAUGGUAAGGUAACGGCUUACCAUGGCUACGAUGUCUAGGGGUUCUGAGAGGAAGGUCCCCCACACUGGAACUGAGACACGGUCCAGACUCCUACGGGAGGCAGCAGUGAGGAAUAUUGGACAAUGGAUGGAAAUCUGAUCCAGCCAUGCCGCGUGCAAGGGAAGACCGGCCCUAUGGGUUGUAAACUGCUUUUGUAUGGGAGCAAUAAGGGCUACGUGUAGUCCGAUGAGAGUACCAUACGAAUAAGCACCGGCUAACUCCGUGCCAGCCGCAGC
RNAcentral lists this ribosomal RNA (456 nucleotides) under uncultured bacterium. RNAcentral describes it as "bacterial SSU rRNA". It matches the Rfam family "Bacterial small subunit ribosomal RNA", at positions 70 to 518 of the family's 1533-position model. The record is from RNAcentral.